This 5085-nucleotide long non-coding RNA is filed under the name Chinchilla lanigera (long-tailed chinchilla). RNAcentral describes it as "lncRNA (ENSCLAG00000026059.1)". The record is from RNAcentral. Lineage: Eukaryota; Metazoa; Chordata; Mammalia; Rodentia; Chinchillidae.
CAGGAGCCAGCCUUGUCAGAUCCAACUAUUGUCUCACGCAAUAGCAAGGGCUGCCUGAUCGGCCUCAGGCAACAAUGAAACUGAGAAGAGCUGAUGAUAGGGCUCAGUGUGCAUGAACACUGGGCAUUUAGGGCAUGUUAGGUGCACGGCGGGCAUGUAGGACAGCAGGGCACGGGAGCGGCUCCUGAGGUUGACAACAUGGUGCGGAGGUACCCUGAGAAGGAAACGUACGUGGACUAUGGAGUGUACUAGGAACUAGGUGUGAGCCCUCCGCGCGGGGCCUGCUGGGAGCACAGAGCCUCCGGGAGCGCGGGGCAGCGGGAAGUGGUUGGUCCCUGAGAGCAGCGACUGGAAAGGUCUGAUUGCUGAGACAUACAGUUGACACGAAAUAUGAAUGAUUCUAGGCAGCAGUCAUUGUUCUUCAUCACACUUCCAGAUAUACACAAGCUGUGUGCUGUCCCAAUAAUAUUAAGUAACAGAGUGACGGAUACCGACAUUAGGAGUACACAAAUGAAGAUGUGCAGACAGUUGCUACUUUUACAUGAAGAUAUUCUUGCAGCACCUGUACCUGGAAUCUUCAGCCAAAUCUGGGUGGUGAUGGCGAUACCAUUUUUUAAAGCUGGGAUACUUAAUGCUUAUAUUGAAAAAUAUGAAGCUAAGGUGGAGGCUCCACAAAAAGUAAUUCCUGUAAUUCUUCAGAACUGCAUUUCAUAUUCACUCAUGGCUAGACUUGCUCCAGCCUGGAAUCGAGUUGGCCAUCUCUUAGUACAAGGAAAAGAUUUUCUUUCUCAGAUGGGAAAGCAAAGUGCUGUUGUGUUAGACAUCAAUGUAACAGAAACUCAAGUUUGUCUGAGUAUAGAAGUUUGCACUGUCAGACUGCCACCACCUGAGCUAAAAGAAUUUGAUAUUUCUGAGAGUACUAUAGAGAAUUUUCAUACUAAUAAGACUGCUGUCAUUGAAAGACAUUCUAUUUUGAGCAACUGGUGCUACAUUUUGCCAAGUAUGAAAAUGGGACAAAUAAUAAAUAUUCUUCAUGCCUCACCCGCUGACUGUCCAUUUCACUCAUUCAAAGAUUUCCAGAUGCACUGGGAUGACUUGUAUGGCUAUAAACUUCCAGAAGAUGGUAGAAAUAUUAAAAUAUACUGCAGCGUCUACUUCAAAAUGAUUGGAGAAAGGACUUUCACAUACCCUCUCAGUUGUGUUAGAAGUCAGCCCAUACAGUUCUUCCCCAGGGUAGAUUUGGAAGGUGUGUUGAAAAGUUUUCUUUCAGAUUUAAAAUCUAAAUUGCCUCAUAUAUGUGGAUUUCCCAUAAAGAUGACAAGUAAGGCAUGCUACUCUACACAGGAACUAACCAAACCUCAUGUACAGGAAAACAAAGUCAAGCCACCCAAUCUGACCACUAAAAAACUGUUCAAGACUUCUGUGACUCAAGCCAGUGCCAGAAAACCUGUUCCAGUUCCAAGUCUUCUCCCAUGUUCAGUAGUAGCAGACCACAAGAUGGAACAUUCCAUCAAGCAGCCACAGCCAGGCAUUUCCUCAGCUCUACAUUAUCAGCCAGAGUCCAUUCACAGUGCAAAGCAGUUCCUGUCUCACAAGGUACCACAACGACAUUUGGAAGAAUCAAAGCCCAAUAAAGAAGAUACUCAAGUUCAACACACAAAUCUUAGCUCCCAAAGUAAUAUCACACCUAAAUUCAUACCAGUUUUCAAAAAUAGAUUAUCAUUGAUGAAUAAAAAUAUUUCAGUACUUAGCAAACAGAAAAGAAAACAGCGUGUCAUAAUGGACUCGAAAUUGUUUUCACAUAAAACUAGUAUAAUCCAGGAUACCAAACUUAAUUUAGGCCCAAAUAUUAAAAAUAGAUCUAAUAGUAACAUUCAAAUACAUGGUAGAAAUUUAAAUCAGAAGAGCUCCAGACCUCCGCAAGAAAAAAGUACUGAAUGUUAUGAAAAUAUGACAAAAUAUCCCUCUUCUAAUGGAAAAUCGAUUGUGAGCUUAAAUGAAAGUAAACAACUGUCUAACAGUAUGGUGUGUCAGGUAUCAAAUAACAGUUUAAGUGUGAGGAAAAAUGCUAUGGACAUCUCUGGAAAAGAAAAUCUAACAAGUAAAUGUAUAACACAGAUUUUAAGAAAAGACUAUGAGUCAGUGAAACUAAAGAGACAACCACAUAUUUUUGAACCAGACAUAGAAACUGAAGAUGCGCAACUACCACAACAGUGGGCAAACCAAACUAAAGAAGUUGAUUUAAGUGACCGCAGCUUGAUAACAAGCAGAACAGCUCACAGGUCUAAAAGAAAAUUAUGUCCUGACUCUUCAAAAACUUCAAAGCAUCAUUGUGAUACUCUGCAUUAUGGACAAUCCAGUUCUAGGAAACAGAUAUAUGACUUGGAUAAAUCAAAAGCUAAGAAAUUUCACACCAUUCCUGAAGCUUAGAACAUGGAUAGGAAAGAAGAGAAUUUCCACCAGAGAUGACCACUCUGAGCAAUGACGAGCACUCUUCUAGGUGUCUGUCCUGGUCACUCCUAUGAGAAUGAACCCGCUCUCCACACUGCUGCGGAACAUCCUUAAGCACUUGAAACUGUCUUUGUAACAUUUGCAUAGUAGUCCAUUGUUUGUGGUAUACUGUAUUUAAUUCCCUAUUGAUUGAAACUUAAAUUACUGCUGACUUCACUAUUGUAACAGUCUUAUAAAUAGGCUUAUAUGAGUCUUUGUAUUCAAUCACCUUAUAUAGUGGUUUUGCUAGUUGAAAAUUAUUUUACCCUAUUUUUUUUUGUUGAAACUUAUUUGAAGUCAUUAUUGUUAUUGUUAAAAUUUUCAAACCAAAGUAUAGGUGAAGAACCACUAAGUGCCUAUUUCCCAUAUCUACCACUUACACACCACUUUUUUGGUAAUAUUUCAAAGCAAAUUCAAGACAUCAUAUAAUUUCAUUCAUAAAUACUUCCGUGUAUAUCUCAAACACACGAUAUAGUGUGUUUUUAAGGAUAAAAGAAUAUGUAUAUAUUACAUUUUUGUGGUGUAUAUUUGUGGUGUUUAUCUCCAUUGGCUCACUAAAUUUCACUUUUAUUUUUACAUGCGUACUAAUAGGAAGCCCUGAAUAUCUAAAGCCUCUUUUACAGUACAACUAGAGCCUUUAUUGCGGUAGAGAUUUCUGUGUUCAGCAGUACUCAUUAUGCUAAGUGCCAGACAGUGCCCAUUACUGAAACAGACAAGAUGACCAGGACCCAAGCCCCACAGCUGGCAGUCCAGUCGCUACCCCAGAUAGAUAGAUAGACAGACAGACAGACAGAUAGAUGGAUCUCCAGAAUAAAUAAGCUUUCGGGUCCAUAUUGUAAAUAAACUAACAUCUGGAAAAAAGAAAAUAAACACAAAUAGAGCUUUUCACCUAAUGAGUAUUUUUUUCAUUUAAACAUUUUAGGUACUCAUUUUAUAAAAAAGAUAUAAUUGUAAUUAUUUAAUAUCAAAAAUCUUCAUUGAUUCAUUAAGUAAAAAUCAAUACAGAACUAAGUUGGAGCUGAACUUUGUUUAAAUAUGGUUUACUGUCUACCAAAUGUUGCAGUUUAAUCAUUACAGUACAUGUGAUUUUUGCUCUUGAAAUUGUGCCUAGUUAAUUAAUUUACUGUAUGUGUUUACUAUAAGCAUUUCUGUUUUCUAGAAUUAUUUCUGUUUCCCAGUUUACCCUUUUCAUAGAGAUAUAUUUGGCUUAGCAUAUUUUGAGUGUGCCUUUCUCUUUUUGAAACCGGUACUGUGGAUAAAUAGCAGGCUACAGUAGAGUUGGAUGCCCUUUGUUUGUGAGGCUCCAGUGACAGUCUUUGUUUAUGAAAGUAAUGUUCAUAAAUGUGUGUGUGUGGUCAGCACAGUCAUGCACACACGUAACCAUUCUUCAACCAGCCUGCCCACCGUUCUUGGAAUUUCCAGGCUUCUUUCUGCUAUUGUCCUGUCGUUAUGCCUUAGGCAAUGAAGACAUACAGUAUUAUUAACCAGGCAAAAUAGCUAAAAAGAGAAAUCCAUUGCCGAAGUGUGUGUGGUAUCUCCCAAUUCUUCACACAAAGAAUCUAGAAAGUCCCUCUUUCACUUCAUUGGUAUCUAAAAUUUAGAAUUUACUAAAAUUUAGAUAAUUUAUCUACAGUAUAUUUCAUGUAGAUAAAUGUUAACUUACAUGGCAAAAUGAUUUAUUAAUCAGUCUAUAUUCUUGUGUAAAGUAAGUUUAUUUUUAAUCUUACUAUGUUUAUCCUAAGGACAGUUUACUAUAUAUAUACAAUAUAUAUAUAAUAUAUAAUAUAUAUAACUAAUAUAUAUAUUAUAUAUAUAUACACACAUAUAUAUGUGUGUGUGAUUUAAGAUAGAUUGCUGGCUUAGCAUUCCAUGUACCGAGAAAAGGUUCUAGACUAAAUUUCUGUGCUCAGGAUCACCAAAGAAAUCAGGGAAGAUUUUGUCUAUUUCAAUGAUUGUAACUUCUGAAAGCCAAGAUAAUUUCAAAUUUAAUUAGAGAACACUAAACUUUACUUUCUGUUUAUUUGAGUUUUUGGUGACUUUGGUGUGCAGCGUGGAUCCCCUCCUCUCAAACAAAAACAAUCAUUCUUUAUAUUCCAAUUGUGCAUUAGCAUUAGAGCCAUUACAAUUUUAAAAGUAUAAAUAAAUGGGUUUGUUUGCCUAUAGCCAGGAACUUAAGAAAUCAGCCAUACCAUUUUAAAAAAACUUAUGGAAAUAGGCCAGAAUUAAUGCCAAGAAUCAUAUUUACAAGAAUGCAAAAGUACUUCUCUUACACUAUUCAUGUAUAUUCAUUUAUAAUUCUAUUAUAUUUUGUUAUACGUUUUUAUUAUAUUUGUUGCUUACAGUCAUAAAAGUUAAAAAAUUUGCAAUGCUCAAUGAUUAAAUUUUAUUUGACUAACCAGUUUACUACUAGUUUUUGCUUUCUUUUUUCAAAUUGCAUAUCUUCUGGUGUUACAUUGAGACUACUAGUACAUUAAAUAUUUAUUGAUAUUUAUAAAUGUAAAUAUAAAGAUUUGAGGAUGUUGUGGUCCUUAUGUAUUGAUGCUUAAAAUGUUUGUGUUUUAUCAUACGUAUUUUUAAAAAUAAAAAAUAAUGAAA